Non-coding RNA from Rattus norvegicus (Norway rat), 69 nucleotides. The record is from Rfam. Lineage: Eukaryota; Metazoa; Chordata; Mammalia; Rodentia; Muridae.
GGGGAUUUAACUCAGUGGUAGAGUGCUUGCCUAGCAAGCACAAGGCUCUGGGUUCGGUCCCCAGCUCUG